This 493-nucleotide ribosomal RNA is filed under the name uncultured bacterium. Its description in RNAcentral is "partial 16S ribosomal RNA". It matches the Rfam family "Bacterial small subunit ribosomal RNA", at positions 27 to 507 of the family's 1533-position model. The record is from RNAcentral.
GAGUGAACGCUGGCGGUAGGCCUAACACAUGCAAGUCGAACGGCAGCACAGUAAGAGCUUGCUCUUACGGGUGGCGAGUGGCGGACGGGUGAGGAAUACAUCGGAAUCUACUUUUUCGUGGGGGAUAACGUAGGGAAACUUACGCUAAUACCGCAUACGACCUACGGGUGAAAGCAGGGGAUCUUCGGACCUUGCGCGAUUGAAUGAGCCGAUGUCGGAUUAGCUAGUUGGCGGGGUAAAGGCCCACCAAGGCGACGAUCCGUAGCUGGUCUGAGAGGAUGAUCAGCCACACUGGAACUGAGACACGGUCCAGACUCCUACGGGAGGCAGCAGUGGGGAAUAUUGGACAAUGGGCGCAAGCCUGAUCCAGCCAUACCGCGUGGGUGAAGAAGGCCUUCGGGUUGUAAAGCCCUUUUGUUGGGUAAGAAAAGCAGCAGGUUAAUACCCCGCUGUUCUGACGGUACCCAAAGAAUAAGCACCGGCUAACUUCGUG